CCAGGAUGCAGAGUGGCUGCAGGGCUGUAGAGCCUGUGAAGGACAGCUUUGGCUGCAGUGGUGUGCUGUGUCAUCUAACUUCACCACGCCAGAUCCUAGGAGCAAAAUCCAGCAAAGCGUGUUCACCGGUUCUGUGUUGCACACGAGGGGCCUGACAGCAUUUCAUGUCACCUUGCUUCAUGUCUCUGCUCCAGACAGUGCCAGAGUUCUCUUCAAGACAAUGGCAAGAUGUUGCUGCUGAGGAUGAUUCACAACCUUUUCCACAAGCAGCAUGUAUGAGAUAUAACCCUUCCCAAGUAUUACAGCUUUACUUCUCCAGAACUUCUUUGUGCUGCUCUCCAUGACCAGCUGCACAAACUUUUAGCUUCAUGAUGUAACAAAACCACUCAGCUUGGCUGAUUUUGCAGCUUUCCAGAUACUUUGCACUGUGAAAGCAUUCACAAAGAGGGAUAAUUUUGUCUGAGUGACACAGAGGUGGGACAUAAAGACUGAGUGGCAGGUGGUUGUGGUCAUUCCGAUCCACAGAGGGUUACAUGGAGCAAGGAGCAAGCAUUCUUCUCUGGUCCAUCAUAAUGAGUUUUACAGACACAGAUUAAGGUGUGUGAGGAGAACAGCUGGACAUGUUCCCUCAUUGCAGAAUGCCUGGAAAAUGUCAUCUUGUCAGAAAACUUGCUUGAAACUGUACAUUUUUCUUGAGCUCAGACAUCUGACCUAAAGUUUCAAGAAAGCCCUUCAGCCAGAGUGGUAGCUACAGGUCUGAUUGAACUGAAGACACACUUCUUUAGAAGAUGAUAUGACAUUCAGGGUCUUCUCUCAGGAUGGUCAGCAGCUGUGACCUUUUGUGUGUGUGCAGCAAGAUUUCUGCAGGGCUCCUGGGUACCACUGAUGAUUUACAACUCCUUAGACAGCUAAAGAAUCUGGUGAGGGUGAAACUCUGCUUCACUGCACCCACCUGCAUGCAACUCAGGUGCCCAGCCUGGGACCACAGGCUUAUUCAGCAUUGUCACAGCAGAGAGAGAGAAAUUUUUGCUUCGGGCAUUGCAUCACUUGCUUGGAAUGAAGAUUAUGGGAACUGAGACUUUACUGACAUCAACUAUAUAAAUACAAGCCAUCUACAUUUAUGAAAGAAGAAAGACAUCAAAAACAGCGCUGGGGUGCCUUUCAUCAAUGAUACAGACCAUCUGAUAUUAUACAGGAAUGCCAGUGUUAGAGUAUGUGUGACAAUCUGAAAAGAAAUUGUAAAUAAAAAACCCCACAGUUUUAAUCUAUUUUCCCUUAUCUCUGAACAGAAGAUGUUCUUCUGGCUAUAAUGAAGAUAAACAACUUCUCUCUGUACUUUGCUCUGCUCCGGAGAUACUGAGAAGUGGAGAACACUGUGAUUACUCUUUCAUUUCAAAAGUUGUUUGCAAUGUACCUAAUUAGUCCUGGUAGAAACAAAAGUGAGAGCAACCUAAACUGCAGAAAGAGUUCAAUGUAUCUUGCUUAACUUGGAAACCGUGGCCAAUAUAAUCAUUUGCAAGCAAAAAUAUCCUUACCUUCCUUAGUUUCCCUGAACAAGCUAUUUGAAUGGGGGAAAAAAAAAGUAAGAAACUUCCUUUCCCUUUACCACUUGAAAACAGGACUUUGAAUCAGAAUACAUUUUGUUUAUCCACUUUCUUACAGCAACUUAGGGCUUUGAUGAAGCCCUUAUGACUGUUGAACAGAAAUGUUAGAGGCAUUAGCCACCACCUGACUGCGCUCUAUGUAAUGUGCACUGGUUACAAAUAGCUUGGAGAAAGUUGAGAACUCAUUAAGUAUUUGGCACUGAAAACAAACCCAAACAAACCACAGAAGCUCUUUAUUGAGCACAAACAGCUUCAGUUGAGCACAUAUUUCCAGAAUGGUAAGAUAAUGAAUUUUGGCAUAUUGGUUUUUUUUGUUUGUUUUGUUUGUUUUUUUGGUUGGUUGGGGUUUUUUGGCUAGAUAUUUUUUCUUUCAUUCUAAGAUAUGAACUGAAUGUACUGCACUUUUCCAGUGUGAUGCAAGCAACGGAAAUAAAAGAUGUGGGAAUCUGAAACUUGGACCAAGAUUUUCAACUCAAGAGGUCUGGGUUUAGUUAAAAACAGACCUUGAGAAAAAUUUCUUGAUUGUAGGUGUACCAAUGGUUAAAAUAUGAAGAUUAAAAAUGGAGGAAUUGAAAUUGUGUUAACUCAGCAAUGACUUCAGUGAGUUUCAGUGCAACACAAGGAGGACAGUGAGGUCCCUGUCAUAAAGAGCCACAUGGGGAGGGAGGAAGGAGGCAAUAUUAGAGCUGGUGGAAAACAAGUUGUUCUUGGAUUGCUCAGGCCAUUAAUGUGACUAAUACUGUGAAGAGACACAUCUCAGACUCCUUAACAGAUGUUUGUUUUCAAAGUUGUUGGAGUGUGCAGAUUUUGAAACUCAGGCUAUUAGAGAUGUAUUUCCAUUUCUGGUGGCGCACAGGUUGAACUUAGCUAUGGACUGAGGAUCAUGCCUGAGUCACCUCAGCCUGACUUCUAGUGUGGAGCAGCCCAGGCCUUUAUCCUUGCUGCUUGGAUGUGAGGAGUCAGAGAGCAGGCCACAGCAUGUGCAUAAGCACAAGGUGGUUGUCCAAGGCUUUGUUCCAAGGGAAAAAUAGAUCAGGAGGAUUGCCAUACUGAAGAACAACCUCUUGCCUGUGCUUGCCCCUCACUUUUUCCAGCCUGAUGUUACCACAAAAUACACGGAACAUCACAGGCUGUUUUGGGGCACUGGGACUUCAUUCACACUUCCCUGAGAAAACAUGAAGAAUUGCAGAUGACUGAGGGGAUAGAAAUUAAUGUCAUCCUUCUGUUGUUAGGUCCUGUGUGAUUUCUACUCUCUCCCACAGGAGAGUUUUGCUACUGCAAGUGAUGGGCUGUGACAAAUAGACUGAACUUCAUUGUUUGCCUUUCUGUGAUAUAGGGAUUAGUAUAAAUCAUGAUGGAUCUUGUAUGGUCCUGCAGAGUCAAGGCUUGGCAUCACAAUCCAUCAGCUCCACUGCAAAGGUUUUCCCUGUGUAUUCUCUACCAUAACACCCCAAUGAAGGGAAUACAAACAAGAUUAUUCUGUGAGUCUAUAUUACCUGCACAAGUUUUUCUGUGGCCUUUCUCUGACUCCUGGGGGGAAAAAAAUGGAAAUGCUUUAUGCAUUAAAGAUAGUGAUUAUACCAAAGUUAACAUAUAUAUUCUCAGUAAAAUCAUUACCAGAGUGUACACAUUCCUGGAGGGCAUUAUGAAAUGUAGUUUAAAAUGCAUCUUGGACAUCCAACCCAAACACAAGAACCCUCCAUGCACACUCUAUGGUUUGCAGAAAUGGAGUAGCUGCCUUUACAGUGUGGCAUGUCAUAAAAAAUUUUCUUUGAGAGUCUAUAAUGACCUCUAGGUGAAAUACAAUUUGAAGUGUAUACGGUAAUGAGCUUUUCAGGUAUUCACAAAGUAAAACUUGUGACUUGAAAGUCAAUUAAAAUUCUUACACAUCUUCUUAGAAUUGCAUAAAUACUAUUGGAAUAUCAUAGUAGAUUCCAGAAUAUCUUCAAAAACAUAGAAAUCUCUGCAAUUAUCUUUGACUUGGUCUUUGCAGGUGUCAUGACAGGUCUGUUGCAGUGGAACUGAGUCCAAUUUUUCCCUUAACAAAAUAAAGUCUUUCUAAAACUGA
Molecule: long non-coding RNA, 3672 nt
Organism: Melospiza melodia melodia
Lineage: Eukaryota; Metazoa; Chordata; Aves; Passeriformes; Passerellidae
Exons: 4
Source: RefSeq, a predicted model, not a curated record